Non-coding RNA from Pelobates cultripes (western spadefoot toad), 291 nucleotides. The record is from the annotation of a GenBank genome assembly. NCBI's taxonomy places the organism in Eukaryota, Metazoa, Chordata, Amphibia, Anura, Pelobatidae.
GGAGGUACUUCAGUUCUGGGUUAGGAACCACGGCUAUAAGCUUUAUUUAUUUUAUUUUUUUUAAACCUUACUUGUUAUAACUUCAAGAUCCCACACUAUCCAUUGUGUGCUCGUGAGGUAGAAAUAUGGCCUGUGGGAACUGCACAUGGUCACUUCAUGUGGCCUGGAGCCAGCAGAUGGACCAAAUAUGGGACAUUCAUUGCAAGCGUGGGUAUUGGGGAAAGCCUCAAUGCGUGUGGUGCACACAGUUCCUUAAUCCCAUGUGUACCAUAAUUAAAUAGUAAUAUCAAG